GCUGGGAGCAGUGGCACGUGCCUGUAAUCCCAGCUACUCCGGAGGCUGAGGUGGGAGGAUCGCUUGAGCCCAGGAGUUCUGGGCUGUGGUGCGCUAUGCCGAUCAGGUGUCUGCACUAAGUUCGGCAUCAGUAUGGUGACCUCCGGAAGCCAGGGACCACCAGGUAGCCUAAGGAGGGGUGAACCCACCCAGGUCGGAAAUGGAGAAGGUCAAAACUCCCCUGCUGAUCAGUAGUGGGAUCGCGCCUGUGAAUAGCUACUGCACUCCAGCCUGGGUAACAUAGCGAGACCCUGUCUCU
RNAcentral lists this signal recognition particle RNA (298 nucleotides) under Aotus nancymaae (Ma's night monkey). RNAcentral's name for it is "Metazoan signal recognition particle RNA (ENSANAG00000006256.1)". It matches the Rfam family "Metazoan signal recognition particle RNA". Rfam says of the family: The signal recognition particle (SRP) is a universally conserved ribonucleoprotein. It is involved in the co-translational targeting of proteins to membranes. Lineage: Eukaryota; Metazoa; Chordata; Mammalia; Primates; Aotidae. The record is from RNAcentral.